Non-coding RNA from Nicotiana sylvestris (wood tobacco), 1794 nucleotides. The record is from Rfam. Lineage: Eukaryota; Viridiplantae; Streptophyta; Magnoliopsida; Solanales; Solanaceae.
UACCUGGUUCAUCCUGCCAGUAGUUAUAUGUUUGUCUCAAAGAUUAAGCCAUGCAUGUGUAAGUAUGAACAAAUUCAGACUCUGAAACUGCAAAAGGCUCAUUAAAUCAGUUAUAGUUUGUUUGAUGGAAUCUACUACUCGGAUAACCGUAGUAAUUCAAGAGAUAAUAUGUGCAACAAACCCUGACUUCUGGAAGGGAUGCAAUUAUUAAAUAAAGGGUCGACGCGGGCUCUGCUCGUUGCUGCGAUGAUUCAUGAUAACUGGAUGGAUCACACGACCAUCGUACCGGCAAUGCAUCAUUCAAAUUUCUGCCCAAUCAACUUUCGAUGGUAGGAUAGUAGCCUACCAUGGUGGUGACGGGUUACGGAGAAUUAGGGUUCGAUUCUGGAGAGGGAGCCUGAGAAAUGGAUACCACAUCUAAGGCAGCAGGCGCACAAAUUACCCAAUCCUGACACGGGGAGGUAGGGACAAUAAAUAACAAUACCGGGCUCUAUGAGUCGGGUAAUUGGAAUGAGUACAAUCUAAAUUCCUUAACGAGGAUCCAUUGGAGGGUAAGUUUGGUGCCAGCAGCCGCAGUAAUUCAAGCUCCAAUAGCAUAUAUUUAAGUUGUUGCAGUUAAAAGGCUCGUAGUUGGACUUUGGGAUGGGCCGGCCGGUCCACUUUAGGUGUGCACCGGUCGUCUCGUCCCUUCUGCCGGUGAUGCGCUCCUGGACUUAAUUGGUCAGGUCGUGCCUCCGGUGCUAUUACUUUGAAGAAAUUAGAAUACUCAAAGCAAGCCUAUGCUCUGUAUACAUUAGCAUGGGAUAACAAUAUAGGAUUUCAGUCCUAUUAAAUUGGCCUUUGAGAUCAGAGUAAUUAUUAACAGGGACAGUCGGGGGCAUUCGUAUUUCAUAGUAAGAGGUGAAAUUCUUAGAUUUAUGAAAAGUGGAUAAGUGCGAAAGAGUUUGCCAAGGAUAUUUUCAUAAAUCAAGAACGAAAGGUGGGGGCUCGAAGACGAUCAGAUACCGUCCUAGUCACAACCAUAAACAAUGCCGACCAGGGAUCGACGGAUGUUGCUUUUAGGACUCCGCCAGCACCUUAUGAGAAAUCAAAGUUUUUGGGUUCCUGGGGGAGUAUGGUCACAAGGCUGAAACUUAAAGGAAUUGACAGAAGGGCACCACCAGGAGUGGAGCCUGCGAAUUAAUUUGACUUAACACGGGGAAACUUACCAGCUCCAAACAUAGUAAGGAUUGACAGACUGAGAGCUCUUUCUUGAUUCUAUGGGUGGUGGUGCAUGGCCGUUCUUAGUUGGUGAAGUGAUUUUUAUUGUUAAUUCCAUUAACGAACAAGACCUCAGCCUUCUAACUAGCUAUGCGGAGGUAUCCCUUCGCGGCUGGCUUCUUAGAGGGAGUACGGCCUUUUAGGCCGCGGAAGUUUGAGGCAAUAAUAGGUCUAUGAUGCCCUUAGAUGUUCUGGGACACAUGCGCACUACACUGAUGUAUUCACCGAGUUUAUAGCCUUGGCCGAUAGGCCCUUGUAAUCUUUGAAAUUUCAUCGUGAUGGGAAUAGAUCAUUGCAAUUGUUGGUCUUCAACGAGGAACUCCUAGUAAGCGCGAGUCAUCAGCUCGCAUUGACUAUGUCCUUACCCUUUGUACACACCGCUCGUUGAUCCUACCGAAUGAAUGAUCCAGUGAAACAUUCGGAUCGCGGUGGUUCCCCUAGUAAAACAUUCGGAUCGUGGUGGUUCCCCUAGAAGUCGUUGCUCCUACCGAUUGAAUGAUUCCCCUAGUAACAAUUAGCGAACUGGGAACAACC